This 80-nucleotide non-coding RNA is filed under the name unclassified sequences. Its description in RNAcentral is "IMES-4 RNA". It matches the Rfam family "IMES-4 RNA motif". The record is from RNAcentral. RNAcentral also lists the same sequence under 1 other name.
CUUAUUACACGCAAAGGUAAUAAGCAAAUUAAAUAAGGGAAACUUUAUUUAAUUUGUAUCGGGAGGAAAUGCACGAUACA